RNAcentral lists this small RNA (4433 nucleotides) under Pan troglodytes (chimpanzee). RNAcentral's name for it is "retained intron". Lineage: Eukaryota; Metazoa; Chordata; Mammalia; Primates; Hominidae. The record is from RNAcentral.
GCCCCAGGCUCUUUGCAUAAUCCUGUGGCUUCGCUGUCUUCACCCAGCACCAGCGGACAGGGAAGGGCAGAGAAGGCCACCAUGGCGACACUCCUCUCCCAUCCGCAGCAGCGCCCUCCCUUCUUGCGCCAGGCCAUCAAGAUAAGGCGCCGCAGAGUCAGAGAUCUACAGGAUCCCCCGCCCCAAAUGGCCCCGGAGAUCCAGCCUCCAUCCCACCACUUCUCCCCCGAGCAGCGGGCCCUGCUCUACGAGGACGCACUCUACACUGUCUUGCACCGCCUGGGUCAGCCUGAGCCCAACCAUGUGACGGAGGCCUCUGAGCUGCUGCGAUACCUGCAGGAGGCCUUCCACGUGGAGCCCAAGGAGCACCAGCAGACACUGCAGCGGGUCAGGGAGCUUGAGAAGCCAAUAUUUUGUCUGAAGGCAACAGUGAAACAGGCCAAGGGCAUUCUGGGCAAAGAUGUCAGUGGGUUCAGCGACCCCUACUGCCUGCUGGGCAUUGAGCAGGGGGUAGGUGUGCCGGGGGGCAGCCCCGGGUCCCGGCAGCGGCAGAAGGCUGUGGUGAGGCACACCAUACCCGAGGAGGAGACCCACCGCACGCAGGUCAUCACCCAGACACUCAACCCCGUCUGGGACGAGACCUUCAUCCUGGAGUUUGAGGACAUCACCAAUGCGAGCUUUCAUCUGGACAUGUGGGACCUGGACACUGUGGAGUCUGUCCGACAGAAGCUUGGGGAGCUCACGGAUCUGCAUGGGCUUCGCAGGAUCUUUAAAGAGGCCCGGAAGGACAAAGGCCAGGACGACUUUCUGGGGAACGUGGUUCUGAGGCUGCAGGACCUGCGCUGCCGAGAGGACCAGUGGUACCCCCUGGAACCCCGCACUGAGACCUACCCAGACCGAGGCCAGUGCCACCUCCAGUUCCAACUCAUCCAUAAGCGGGUAGGUCGGGUACUGGGCCAGUGGCCGUGCCCAGCUCUUGCGGUGGUCUGCUGGGUUGCGGGGCUGGCUGCACCCAGUGUGAGGCCCUGUCUGCUCACAGAGGCCUCAUUGCAGAGAGCCACUUCGGCCAGCCGCUCGCAGCCCAGCUACACCGUGCACCUCCACCUCCUGCAGCAGCUUGUGUCCCACGAGGUCACCCAGCACGAGGUAUUGCCCUCCUGGGGCUGGGCGCAGCCGGGGCUGCCCUUCAGGUCCUGACACUCCUCCACCUGCUCCCCUCAGGCGGGAAGCACCUCCUGGGACGGGUCGCUGAGUCCCCAGGCUGCCACCGUCCUCUUUCUGCACGCCACACAGAAGGACCUGUCCGACUUCCACCAGUCCAUGGCGCAGUGGCUGGCCUACAGCCGCCUCUACCAGAGCCUGGAGUUCCCCAGCAGCUGCCUCCUGCACCCCAUCACCAGCAUCGAGUACCAGUGGAUCCAGGGUCGGCUCAAGGCAGAACAGCAGGAGGAGCUGGCCGCCUCAUUCAGCUCCCUGCUGACCUACGGCCUCUCCCUCAUCCGGAGGUUCCGCUCUGUCUUCCCCCUCUCUGUCUCGGACUCCCCAGCCCGGCUGCAGUCUCUUCUCAGGGUCCUGGUACAGAUGUGCAAGAUGAAGGCCUUUGGAGAACUGUGCCCCAACACCGCCCCAUUGCCCCAGCUGGUGACUGAGGCCCUGCAGACUGGCACCACUGAAUGGUUCCACCUGAAGCAGCAGCACCAUCAACCCAUGGUGCAGGGCAUCCCGGAGGCAGGCAAGGCCUUGCUGGGCCUGGUACAGGAUGUCAUUGGCGACCUGCACCAGUGCCAGCGCACAUGGGACAAGAUCUUCCACAAUACCCUCAAGAUCCACCUCUUCUCCAUGGCUUUCCGGGAGCUGCAGUGGCUAGUGAGUCCCUCCACCGUCUCUAGGGCAUGCCCUCCGACAAAGCUGUGGGCCCCGCCCUCCACACCUUUCCUUUGCAGGUGGCCAAGCGGGUGCAGGACCACACGACGGCUGUGGGUGAUGCAGUGUCCCCAGAGAUGGGCGAGAGUCUGUUCCAGCUCUACAUCAGCCUCAAGGAGCUCUACCAGCUGCGCAUGAGCUCCUCAGAGAGGGAUGGAGUUCUGGCCCUGGAUAAUUUCCACCGCUGGUUCCAGCCGGCCAUCCCCUCCUGGCUGCAGAAGACGUACAACGAGGCCCUGGCGCGGGUGCAGCGCGCUGUGCAGAUGGAUGAGCUGGUGCCCCUGGGUGAACUGACCAAGCACAGCACAUCAGCGGUGGAUCUAUCCACCUGCUUUGCCCAGAUCAGCCACACUGCCCGGCAGCUGGACUGGCCAGACCCAGAGGAGGCCUUCAUGAUUACCGUCAAGUUUGUGGAGGACACCUGUCGCCUGGCCCUGGUGUACUGCAGCCUUAUAAAGGCCCGGGCCCGCGAGCUCUCUUCAGGCCAGAAGGACCAAGGCCAGGCAGCCAACAUGCUGUGUGUGGUGGUGAAUGACAUGGAGCAGCUGCGGCUGGUGAUCGGCAAGUUGCCUGCCCAGCUGGCAUGGGAGGCCCUGGAGCAGCGGGUAGGGGCCGUGCUGGAGCAGGGGCAGCUGCAGAACACGCUGCAUGCCCAGCUGCAGAGUGCGCUGGCCGGGCUGGGCCAUGAGAUCCGCACUGGCGUCCGCACCCUGGCCGAGCAGUUGGAGGUGGGCAUCGCCAAGCACAUCCAGAAACUGGUGGGCGUCAGGGAGUCCGUCCUGCCUGAGGAUGCCAUUCUGCCCCUGAUGAAGUUCCUGGAGGUGGAGCUUUGCUACAUGAACACCAACUUGGUGCAGGAGAACUUCAGCAGGUCUGUAGCAGCCCCUGCCCUGGGCGCGCUCGCCACCUCACCUUCUCCUCCCACGGCCCCUCCUUCCUGGGCCCCAGCAUCCGUUCUGAGGGGUGUAGCAGCCCCUGCCCUGGGCGCGCUCGCCACCUCCCCCUCUCCUCCCACGGCCCCUCUUUCCUGGGCCUCAGCAUCCGUUCUGAGGAGUGGAGGUGAAUCCCUUUGGUGACCUCCCUUAUGGGGUGCAACAGGCUCUGCUAAGGCUCGCUGCAGGGACGGGGAGCUUGCCACUUCUCAGGCCUCCCCAUUUCCUGCUGCCUAGCUCUGAGUGCUUUGAGUUCUUCCUUAGGCUGAGCCAAAAUCUACCUGUCCUUUCUCCUUUAGUCCCAGGCCUGUCUUCAGGGCCUCCCUGACUGCUCCUCUGCCCCCAUUAGGUUACAGGUGGUCCCUGCCCACGGUGCAGGGAGAACUUCUAGCUAGGGUGUCUUAUAGCAGGGACCCAGCAUGCCAGGCAACAGGCGGUGGAGUCCAGCACAUGGGCUCUGGACCACCUGGGUUCAGACUCCGGCUUCAUCACUGCUUAGCAGCCUUGGGCAAGUUCCUGGUGCAGAUGAAAGUAGUUCUGGCUUCUGUUGAGGAUUAAAUGGGUCAUGUGAGGUGCUGAGCGUGGUGUCGGUACAAAGGAAGUGGUCAGUGACUAUUAGCGGUAGUGACGAUGACGAUGACAGCACCCCACCUCCCUGUGGAAUCUGGGCCCUGAAGAGGCCGCAGCCCUCCUAGAGUUCUGUUCCACCCCCAGAGGUAUAAGCCAGGGCCCCUUGGAGCCCGGCUGUUUUUAUUUCUUAAACCAUGUAUAUAUAUUUUUUAUUUUUUUGAGACGGAGUCUCGCUCUGUCGCCCAGGCUGGAGUGCAGUGGCACGAUCUCAGCUCACUGCAACCUCCGACUCCGGGUUCAAGUGAUUCCCUGCCUCAGCCUGCUGAGUAGCUGGGACUACAGGUGCAUGCCAUUAUGUCUGGCUAAUUGUUUUUUUGAGAUGGAGUCUUGCUCUGUUGCCAGGCCAGAAUGCAGUGGUGCAAUCUUGGCUUACUGCAACCUCCGCCUCCUGGGUUCAAGCGAUUCUCCUGCCUCAGCCUCCCAAGUAGCUGGGACUACAGGCACGCGCCACAAUGCCUGGCUAAUUUUUGUAUUUUUAGUAGAGACGGGGUUUCACCAUGUUGGCCAGGAUGGUCUCAAUCUCUUGACCUCCUGAUCCACCCACCUCGACCUCCCAAAGUGCUGGGAUUACAGGCAUGAGCCACCGCGCCCGGCCUGGUUCUGUCUUAAAUCAUGGUUGUCACUGGGGGCCUGACCUCCUCCGUCUCCAGCCUUGUUUGUGGGUUCCGUUAGUCUGCUGGGGAGGAUUCUUCACUGAGGUUGAGAGGUGUGUUGGAUAGGACUGACCCCACCUGCCCCUUGCUGGUCCUGUACCCACCCUCUCCCCAGCCUCACCUGGGGUGGGAGGAGCUGGGGUGGGGCUGGGUCACUGAGGCCUCCCCUUUCUCAAGAGCAUCUUUGCUUCCUCCUCCGCCACCGCCCUGCCGUGCUGUGUCCGCAUCCCUCCGGCCCCCGCGCCAGCCUCCUGACCCUGCUCUGGACCCACACGCUCACAGUGCUGGUGGAGGC